Molecule: ribosomal RNA, 172 nt
Filed under: Acinetobacter baumannii
Lineage: Bacteria; Pseudomonadati; Pseudomonadota; Gammaproteobacteria; Moraxellales; Moraxellaceae
Description: partial 16S ribosomal RNA
Rfam family: Bacterial small subunit ribosomal RNA
Source: RNAcentral
UUUAACUGAAGAGUUUGAUCAUGGCUCAGAUUGAACGCUGGCGGCAGGCUUAACACAUGCAAGUCGAGCGGGGGAAGGUAGCUUGCUACUGGACCUAGCGGCGGACGGGUGAGUAAUGCUUAGGAAUCUGCCUAUUAGUGGGGGACAACAUCUCGAAAGGGAUGCUAAUACC